GUUUGGCGUUGCAGCUGUGUGGGCGCUGGUGCGUGCGAGUAGCGCUCGAAGAAACCCAAAGGCGUCGUGGGGCUGCCGUGUGCCCCAGAGAGCACUGCAGGCCGGGUAGGGGCUAAGGCUCCCCGCAGUCUUCUGUGUGUCGUCCAGUACGCAGUUGAAAUCGUUCUCCAACCUGGCCAGUCCUCCGAGGCCCUUCUCAGGCGACCAGACUCUGUUAACAGAGUCCAUUGCUAAAACUCCUCGUUAGUAUUUACCACUCCUCCAGUCUGUGUUUUGAAGCAGUGGUUUUCAACCACUGCCCGUUUUCAGAAGAAAUCAUCUCAAGCGUCCGUGUGCUGCUAGAAGCCGGGCCGGGAGGUCUUGGUGCCGGACUCCACCCUGCAGCCCUUCCCUUUCGCCACCGCCCUGUGCUUAGAGAAACCUUAGAGUGGAGCAAUGAGUCGCCCUUGACUGAGUAACUCUUCGGGGUCAACUUCUCCUUCCACGCCAAGGAAAGGAUUCCAGGGCGAUGUUUCUGGAAAUAGAGAUCUGACCAAGCCACUGCUCUGGUGAAAAUUCAGUGGGUCCCUAGCACCUAGUGCAGCGGCUCCUAGCCUGAGUAUUGCCGUCUUUCGGUGGGGAGGGGUUGGGUUUUUUUGUAGCAUCUGUUGAUCUGAUCUCCAACAUCCUCCACGUCAAUUCCCACUCCACCCACAUCCCUUAUCCUAUACGUAAGCUUUCCAGCCACGGUGCUGGCUUGGGUGGGGGUGCGUGCGGUGCUGACACCAAAAUGGAGGUCCCGUGUUUCUGAGAGUCUCUUUCAGAGCAAUGCAAACCUGAAACUACUCCUGCCAAGAAACGAUUGCAGCUCUUCCCGGAAAAGUUAAAGCCUUUGAGAAACAAAGCUGAGGUUGAAAGUAUUAGUCCAUUUUAUAGAUGAAGAAAUGGAGGCCCAGAGAGAUCACGUGACUUAGCCAAGUCCACCAAAUUUGGGAUUAAGCCUUAUUUUGCAUUGGGUUUAAUCUCAACAGACACCGAGGGGCACCUGGAGUCCCUGCAAAACCUUGUCUGGUAUCAGCUACCUAUCAGAGGAUGCAGAGGACAAGGGCCUAGGGGAUGCCAAAUUCCAGGGUCCAGAAAGAGCUUGGGAUAAAAUGAACAUCCAAGGGGAGGGCUUUGACCUGGGCUGAGUCUGCCUGUGCCGAGUCUGCCUGUGCCAUCCAACUGGAGUCUCAAGUCCUGAGGCAGGACGUCCAGAUGCCCCAGUGCAGGGUCCUCCUGAUCAACACCUGCUCCCCUGUACUCAUUAGCAACCUCACCCACCCUACUCUCAAAGCACACUUGGCUCUCAUAUCCAGGAGCUCUGCAUCUGUAGAUUCAGCAACAGCAGAUGGAAAAUAUUCAGAAAAUAAAUUGGACAGUUAUAUUUCUAUUGAA
This 1416-nucleotide long non-coding RNA is filed under the name Homo sapiens (human). RNAcentral describes it as "uncharacterized LOC100996660, transcript variant 5 (LOC100996660)". Lineage: Eukaryota; Metazoa; Chordata; Mammalia; Primates; Hominidae. The record is from RNAcentral.